Molecule: ribosomal RNA, 464 nt
Filed under: Vreelandella stevensii
Lineage: Bacteria; Pseudomonadati; Pseudomonadota; Gammaproteobacteria; Oceanospirillales; Halomonadaceae
Description: partial 16S ribosomal RNA
Rfam family: Bacterial small subunit ribosomal RNA
Source: RNAcentral
CUACGGGGGGCAGCAGUGGGGAAUAUUGGACAAUGGGGGGAACCCUGAUCCAGCCAUGCCGCGUGUGUGAAGAAGGCCCUCGGGUUGUAAAGCACUUUCAGUGAGGAAGAACGCCUGGUGGUUAAUACCCAUCAGGAAAGACAUCACUCACAGAAGAAGCACCGGCUAACUCCGUGCCAGCAGCCGCGGUAAUACGGAGGGUGCGAGCGUUAAUCGGAAUUACUGGGCGUAAAGCGCGCGUAGGUGGCUUGAUAAGCCGGUUGUGAAAGCCCCGGGCUCAACCUGGGAACGGCAUCCGGAACUGUCAAGCUAGAGUGCAGGAGAGGAAGGUAGAAUUCCCGGUGUAGCGGUGAAAUGCGUAGAGAUCGGGAGGAAUACCAGUGGCGAAGGCGGCCUUCUGGACUGACACUGACACUGAGGUGCGAAAGCGUGGGUAGCAAACAGGAUUAGAUACCCUGGUAGUC